Molecule: transfer RNA, 75 nt
Filed under: Candidatus Andersenbacteria bacterium RIFCSPHIGHO2_02_FULL_46_16
Lineage: Bacteria; Candidatus Anderseniibacteriota
Also listed under: 3 other names
Description: tRNA-Thr
Rfam family: tRNA
About the family: Transfer RNA (tRNA) molecules are approximately 80 nucleotides in length. Their secondary structure includes four short double-helical elements and three loops (D, anti-codon, and T loops). Further hydrogen bonds mediate the characteristic L-shaped molecular structure. tRNAs have two regions of fundamental functional importance: the anti-codon, which is responsible for specific mRNA codon recognition, and the 3' end, to which the tRNAs corresponding amino acid is attached (by aminoacyl-tRNA synthetases). tRNAs cope with the degeneracy of the genetic code in two manners: having more than one tRNA (with a specific anti-codon) for a particular amino acid; and 'wobble' base-pairing, i.e. permitting non-standard base-pairing at the 3rd anti-codon position.
Source: RNAcentral
GCCAGCUUAGCUCAGUGGUAGAGCAACACUUUUGUAAAGUGAAGGUCCCGAGUUCGAAUCUCGGAGCUGGCUCCA